Molecule: ribosomal RNA, 449 nt
Filed under: uncultured bacterium
Lineage: Bacteria
Description: partial 16S ribosomal RNA
Rfam family: Bacterial small subunit ribosomal RNA
Source: RNAcentral
AGCGAACGCUGGCGGCAGGCCUAACACAUGCAAGUCGAACGAAGUCUUCGGACUUAGUGGCGGACGGGUGAGUAACACGUGGGAACGUGCCUUUAGGUUCGGAAUAACUCAGGGAAACUUGUGCUAAUACCGAAUGUGCCCUUCGGGGGAAAGAUUUAUCGCCUUUAGAGCGGCCCGCGUCUGAUUAGCUAGUUGGUGAGGUAAAGGCUCACCAAGGCGACGAUCAGUAGCUGGUCUGAGAGGAUGAUCAGCCACGUUGGGACUGAGACACGGCCCAAACUCCUACGGGAGGCAGCAGUGGGGAAUCUUGCGCAAUGGGCGAAAGCCUGACGCAGCCAUGCCGCGUGAAUGAUGAAGGUCUUAGGAUUGUAAAAUUCUUUCACCGGGGACGAUAAUGACGGUACCCGGAGAAGAAGCCCCGGCUAACUUCGUGCCAGCAGCCGCCGUAA